AGAUUAUUGUACUUUAAUUCGUUCACCUUAUCAGUCCGAAAAUGCAUUAAUCAAAAAUAAAUUUAUAACUUUUUGUGUUGUCUAAAAAAUUAAUUCGGAUAUAUACGUUUAACAUAGAAAAUUUAUCUCAUGAAUAUGUACAUUGGAUGUCUGUGCGUUUUAUCUUCUUAUUAUCGGCUGGUUAUUAGAUGAAGCAUAAGUCAUCGGCGCGCUUACGAUUACGUUAAAAUAUCAUUAAAAACCAAGACUUUUAUUGAUUGUAUUUUAAAUCCCGGCAUGCAAAAACCAGGAGAAAACGUCACGACCUACAGGAAGUUGUUAAUAUUUUUUCAUUAAUUAUUGAAUUUCUCCUUUAUUGCUUCACAUAUAGCGAUAAAACUUUGUGAAUAUAGAUAUUAUGUCAUAAUGAACAUAUUUAAACCAUAAGUAAAAAAUCGCGAAUUUUCCCUUUAA
Molecule: long non-coding RNA, 453 nt
Filed under: Mytilus galloprovincialis (Mediterranean mussel)
Lineage: Eukaryota; Metazoa; Mollusca; Bivalvia; Mytilida; Mytilidae
Source: RNAcentral